GUAAGGUCUUCCGUGCGUCCAGGCUGUGAGUAGAGGAGGGGCAGGUGGCCGUGGGACUCGGAAAGGAGGAGGAAGGAGGAGUUUGGGGUGCGGCGAUCGGCUGAGUGGUGACGACAAGCUUCACAUGGACUGUUACGGCCAGUGUGUACUACAUUGAGAAAGGCCGCGUUGGAGUCCAGGAGAGGCGCAGGAAUGGCUGCCGUCGCCACCACCGCCGCCGCUAACACGACCGCCAGUGGAGUCAUCAUCGCCACUUUGGUUCAGGGAGACACAGCUGCCUUCGUCGUGCGUGGAGCAGUAUUCCUUGAAGUACUUUCAGGAAACUUGCUGACAUUAUCCCGGAUCGUUUCUUGCAAGUGCGAAGACGAAAGGGUUAUCCCAUCAACAAGUGAAGAAAUAGAUGGCCCGGGGAGUGGGAGCGCCCGCCUCACCUCUCAGUUCCACCACUCAGAGACUCACCAGAACGAAAAAGAUGACACGGAAAGGAUCUUAAUGGGACUGUUAUGUAGCUAUCGGGUAAGUUCUCCACUGCUGAAGGAGGUAAGGAAAGAGAGCGGGUGAGUGAGUGACGAGAGGCAAAAAGAUCGUGAGGUGUUAGUUAUGAGGACGUCCCACCCAUUACACGGAGAGCGAUGGCGUGCUCAUAACACGUUUACACUUAUAAGGGUCUCCACCUCCUGCACGUAUGCCAUCCCCUCA
Scylla paramamosain (green mud crab) is the source of this 699-nucleotide long non-coding RNA. RefSeq lists it as uncharacterized. The transcript has 4 exons. The record is from RefSeq and is a predicted model, not a curated record. NCBI's taxonomy places the organism in Eukaryota, Metazoa, Arthropoda, Malacostraca, Decapoda, Portunidae.